Long non-coding RNA from Bactrocera tryoni, 767 nucleotides. RefSeq lists it as uncharacterized. The record is from RefSeq and is a predicted model, not a curated record. NCBI's taxonomy places the organism in Eukaryota, Metazoa, Arthropoda, Insecta, Diptera, Tephritidae. The transcript is spliced from 2 exons.
UUUACCUUGUAAACCUGAAAUGACGUCUAAUGUACUCUGCGGCACAAAGCCAGCUGACCAACUAGUUUCACCUUCAGUGGAUUCUUCAACCGCCUUCUCUUCCAAUCAUAAUUCACAUCAUCGAACGUUUGCGAACAUUGUCUCAUUACUUGAUAUAAAGUAGAAACGAAAGCAUUCCAUAUUACAGUGCCAGUAUCCCGAAUUAUGACCACUUCAGCUUACGUAACUCUGGAAUGUACAUAUAUAAGAAGACAAACUUGGGUUGCCUUUGAAGAUAUAAAGUAUAAGUAGUGGUAAUGAAACAAGCCAAAACCUGUGGUGCAUUUAUAAUACUACGUGGUGAAACAUUUCGUACCAAUCCGGUGACCAACAUACGAUUUGAAGAUACAACUGUCAAAAUGCGGUGAAUUCGUCCAAAUUCCGUCAGAUAUAAUAUAAACAUAAAGGAGUUGAAAACCUGUAUCACUCUUUGAAACGGAAAAUUUUAAAAGGAGCGCUAAUAGAUACCAUGCAGAAAAACAGAAUUACGGGAAGUAUUUUUUAAACUAACAUGACAACGAAGAUUCACAUAAGAAGAGUUGAUACAGCCAAAGCUUUCAACGUUGGAUAGAAUAGAGGAAUAAGAUGGAAAUAAUAAUAAAAACUAUUUAGUUAAGAGUGCUAGCAUGUUUAUAAUGCAAUAGCUUCCCCAAUUUAUUUUAAUUGGAGAUAUGUGCGGGUAUGCUUGUAUAGAAAUAUGUACUGUUAAUGUAUAAAAUAUGUAUUUA